GAUGAACGCUGGCGGCGUGCCUAAUACAUGCAAGUCGAGCGAACGGACGAGAAGCUUGCUUUUCUGAUGUUAGCGGCGGACGGGUGAGUAACACGUGGAUAACCUACCUAUAAGACUGGGAUAACUUCGGGAAACCGGAGCUAAUACCGGAUAAUAUUUUGAACCGCAUGGUUCAUAAGUGAAAGACGGUCUUGCUGUCACUUAUAGAUGGAUCCGCGCUGCAUUAGCUAGUUGGUAAGGUAAUGGCUUACCAAGGCAACGAUGCAUAGCCGACCUGAGAGGGUGAUCGGCCACACGGCAACUGAGACACGGUCCAGACUCCUACGGGAGGCAGCAGUAGGGAAUCUUCCGCAAUGGGCGAAAGCCUGACGGAGCAACGCCGCGUGAGUGAUGAAGGUCUUCGGAUCGUAAAACUCUGUUAUUAGGGAAGAACAUAUGUGUAAGUAACUGUGCACAUCUUGACGGUACCUAAUCAGAAAGCCACGGCUAACUACGUG
Molecule: ribosomal RNA, 497 nt
Filed under: uncultured bacterium
Lineage: Bacteria
Description: partial 16S ribosomal RNA
Rfam family: Bacterial small subunit ribosomal RNA
Source: RNAcentral